GGAGGGGUGGCCGAGUGGUUAAGGCAAGGUCCUGCUAAGACCUGCCCGGUUAAAAGCUGGGCCGUGGGUUCGAAUCCCACCCCCUCCG
RNAcentral lists this transfer RNA (88 nucleotides) under Candidatus Parcubacteria bacterium. Its description in RNAcentral is "tRNA-Ser". It matches the Rfam family "tRNA". Rfam says of the family: Transfer RNA (tRNA) molecules are approximately 80 nucleotides in length. Their secondary structure includes four short double-helical elements and three loops (D, anti-codon, and T loops). The record is from RNAcentral. Lineage: Bacteria; Candidatus Parcubacteria.